RNAcentral lists this ribosomal RNA (756 nucleotides) under uncultured Neocallimastigales. RNAcentral describes it as "partial large subunit ribosomal RNA". It matches the Rfam family "Eukaryotic large subunit ribosomal RNA", at positions 26 to 629 of the family's 3401-position model. Lineage: Eukaryota; Fungi; Neocallimastigomycota; Neocallimastigomycetes; Neocallimastigales. The record is from RNAcentral.
CGACUACAUAUCAGGCAUAUCAAUAAGCGGAGGAAAAGAAACUAACAAGGAUUCCCUUAGUAACGGCGAGUGAAGCGGGAAGAGCUCAAAUUUGAAAUCUUCAAGGUUUUACCUUGACGAAUUGUAGUUUAAAGAAGUGUUUUCUGUUGGAGUUUCGGUAAAAGUUCUUUGGAAUAGGACAUCAUAGAGGGUGAGAAUCCCGUAUUUGACCAUUAUUUUCAGCUGUGUGAUACACUUUCAAAGAGUCGGAUUGUUUGGGAAUGCAGUCCAAAAUGGGUGGUAAAUUUCAUCUAAAGCUAAAUAUUGGCGAGAGACCGAUAGCGAACAAGUACCGUGAGGGAAAGAUGAAAAGAACUUUGAAAAGAGAGUUAAACAGUACGUGAAAUUGUCAAAAGGGAAGCGUUUGACACCAGUGUUGUUUUCUCGAAAAUCAAUUAAAAAUGGCGUGAUUUUGUGUUGUAUUGACCUUAAAAGCUUUCUUCACUUUUUUCAUGUCUUUUUUAAUGCACUUUUCGUUUAACAAGUCAGCAUCAGUUUCUUUUGUUGUAAAAAGGUCAUUGGAAGGUGGCUUUCUUUUCGGAGAAAGUGUUUAUAGCCUUUGACUCCUGCAAUCGGAGAGACUGAGGUCUGCAGCGUAGAUCCUUCGGGGUUAGAUACAUUUGUGCUAAGUUAUAGCUUUUCAUAGACAACUUGUUGACUAUGUUUAGUCUUGUAGCUUACUCGCUUAUGCUAUUUUACCUACGCUUAGGAUGUUGA